AGGCUCCACCUCCAGCACUGGCACUCAUAUUGAAAACACACUUUCUUAGGUCCCCAGUGCCUGCCAGCACAGGAUGGGGUGUCCACUCUGUGAGAAGGAGGCUGUACCUAUUUGUUUCUGGUUUUGUCUAAUUGGUGGGCUUAUGCUAAAUGCCUCGAACUGAGUGACAAGGAGGGUCUGGCAUUUCAUUAAAAUUAGGAGGGGAAUCUGAACAUCAAAACGCCAAAGAGGUAACAAGACCUCAGAAGAAAAUGGCUACUUAUCUACAUGGGAAGGAUCUGCGGGGUCCAGGAGAAGCUCCACAAGCUCAAGGAAGAGGCAGAGCUGCAAGGAUGAAAGGGUAACUGGAGAGGGAACACAGCUCUGAAGUGGGCACGCUGCUGAAAAGAAGGCAAGGGAAAGCCCUAUGCAUCCCCACGAGCAUGUUUAAAAUGAUGAGGACGAACUGCUGUACAGAAGGUAGGCACAGGGAGUCCAAUAGACCCAGAGUUAGUGUUGCUUGUCAGUGAGCCUAAAUGAAGACUUCAACCCAGAUUUAAAAACGUAACUAGGAAGGCUUCCUUUGCAGAAAUGAAAUAAGGUCAUAAAUCCUUUGAAAAAUGCCCUAGGUAUACAAAAGCAAGGGAUAUAUAUAUAUAUAUACAUAUAUAUAUAUAUAUUCUGUACUUUAUGUAUCAACACAUUUCUAUGUAUACACAUGUGUGUUCAUGUGUGUGUAUGUAUCUCUGUGUCUCUGUGUAGCAGCAAUUAAUAAAAAAGAUGUGAUGAAUUUAAAAGAGCCAUGAAGAUUA
Molecule: long non-coding RNA, 791 nt
Organism: Rattus norvegicus (Norway rat)
Lineage: Eukaryota; Metazoa; Chordata; Mammalia; Rodentia; Muridae
Source: RefSeq, a predicted model, not a curated record